Molecule: ribosomal RNA, 440 nt
Filed under: uncultured bacterium
Lineage: Bacteria
Description: partial 16S ribosomal RNA
Rfam family: Bacterial small subunit ribosomal RNA
Source: RNAcentral
CCUACGGGGGACAGCAGUGGGGAAUAUUGGACAAUGGGGGAAACCCUGAUCCAGCGACGCCGCGUGAGUGAAGAAGUAUUUCGGUGCGUAAAGCUCUAUCAGCAGGAAAGAAAAUGACGGUACCUGACUAAGAAGCCCCGGCUAACUACGUGCCAGCAGCCGCGGUAAUACGUAGGGGGCAAGCGUUAUCCGGAUUUACUGGGUGUAAAGGGAGCGUAGACGGCAGCGCAAGUCUGGAGUGAAAUGCCCGGGCCCAACCCCGGAACUGCUCUGGAAACUGUGAAGCUGGAGUGCAGGAGAGGUAAGCGGAAUUCCUGGUGUAGCGGUGAAAUGCGUAGAUAUCAGGAGGAACACCGGCGGCGAAGGCGGCUUACUGGACUGUAACUGACGUUGAGGCUCGAAGGCGUGGGGAGCAAACAGGAUUAGAUACCCUGGUAGUC